Non-coding RNA from Podarcis lilfordi (Lilford's wall lizard), 71 nucleotides. The record is from the annotation of a GenBank genome assembly. NCBI's taxonomy places the organism in Eukaryota, Metazoa, Chordata, Lepidosauria, Squamata, Lacertidae.
GGGCCAUAACUCACCGGUAGAGCACCUGCCUUGCAGACAGAAGGUCACAGGUUCAAUCCCCGUCAUCUCCA